This is a long non-coding RNA of Antechinus flavipes (yellow-footed antechinus), 732 nucleotides long. RefSeq lists it as uncharacterized. The record is from RefSeq and is a predicted model, not a curated record. Lineage: Eukaryota; Metazoa; Chordata; Mammalia; Dasyuromorphia; Dasyuridae. The transcript is spliced from 2 exons.
GUUGUGUUUGGAAAGAGCCGGUGACCAGCACACAAUUCAAGGACACAAGGAAGUCAGGGACAGAGAAGCCAGAGAAGGAGGAAGAACAUGCAGGGUUGGGACUAUCGAUGUGAGGGCCUGGCCAAACCAAGGGGAAGAACACAUGAGGAGCAGACCCAUGUGAGGCUGGACACAGACACUGAUGGAAAAAAGACAGGCUACAUAUAGGAGAAUGACCAGGAGGAUGAAUACAGAGAGGCUUGGAGAGACUUACAUGAACUGAUGCUAAGUGAAAUGAGCAGAACCAAGAGAUCAUUAUACACUUCAACAAUGAUACUGUAUGAGGAUGUAUUCUGAUGGAAGUGGAUUUCUUCGACAAAGAGAAGAUCUAACUCAGUUUCAAUUGAUCAGUGAUGGACAGAAGCAGCUACACCCAAAGAAAGAACACUGGGAAAUGAAUGUAAACUGUUUGUAUUUUUGUUUUUCUUCCUGGGUUAUUUUUACCUUCUGGAUUCAACUCUUCCUGUGCAACAAGAGAACUGUUUGGUUCUGCACACAUAUAUUGUAUCUAGGAUAUACUAUGACAUAUUUAACAUAUAUAGGAUUGCCUGCCAUCUAGGGGAGGGGGUGGAGGGAGGGAGGGGAAAAGUUGGAACAGAAGUGAAUGCAAGGGAUAAUGUUGUAAAAAAAAAAAAAUUACCCAGGCAUGAGUUCUGUCAAUAAAAAGUUAUAAUUAUUAAAAAAAAAUAGAAA